GCAGGGCCGUCGUGCGCGCGCACCCGUGAGGCGGGCGCCUGCCGGAGCUCAGUGGGCGGCCGAGACGUCAGCUGGGGAGGAAAGAGUGACGCUGAGGAUGGGUGGAGGCAGGCAGGCGGCAUGAAGAGUACGAUCAAGUAAAGAACUUCCACGGAAUCGAGGCAGUGGCACAGCUGAAGGAUGGGCCUUAAAGUGCAAUAUUUAGUGAGUGUGCUCUUGUCAUCUGCACAGCUGCUGCUCACCUUCCCGCUGACAGAGAAGAACCACUUGUCCAUCCGGCGUGGCAAAGAGUGCAAGAUGUGCCCUGCAGGUGAGUUCCAGAAGUCUUGUGAGCAGUGCGCGCCGUGUCCCGCUAAGAGCUACACCACUGACUGGAACCGCGAGGAGAGCUGCCAUCGUUGCUACGGCGAUUGCAGGCCUGAAUUCAAUCAGAAAGUGAUCGAGGACUGCAGCAGCACAUCUAACCUCAAGUGCACAUGCCAAGAUGGCUUCCGCUGUACCGCUGUGGUUGCAUAUACCGGCAACUGCAAAAACUGUGUCGCAACCACAACCGUAACAGCAGCGGCAGCAACAACAGCAGAUGAAGAUGAACAGACUCCUUCCUCUUCUUCCUCAGGAUCCCGCAGCAACUCUGCCAGGUUGUGCUCUUUUCCCGAAUGUGAGACCAAGCCUGGAAACAGCUCACACGCUAACAAAGGGCCUCAGCUGGUGGCCGUCGUGUUCCCAAUGGUCGUCGUGGUAACUGUGGCCCUCACUGUCUGGCUCUGCAGCUGUCGGCGCGGAGAGGAAACUUGCUUGAAGCGGGCUGUGGUGAAGUUAUGCAAUAAGGGGGUUCCCAAUGUUACAGCUAAGGAGAAAGAGCCCAAUCAGCAUUUCUUGACUGACCCUUGCGGUGCUGUGCAUGUCCACAAUGCGGGGACGGUCAUCUUCAGCUGGCUCAGUCAGUUUACCGGCCAAGUGGGUCCCGUCACGGAAACCAAGAUGGCAACAAAAGACGAGGAGGAGGAGGCCGAAGACGGCGACCAAGCCCCUCCUCCUUCGUUCUCCCCCAGUGUUCCCCUGUCUGAGGAGGAGAUGAGCGGAGAGGCGGUCUUGUUCCCUUCUCAGGAGGAAGGCAAAGACUGGCACGUGUCCAAAGAGGAAGCAGAAGCCUGAAGAUGAGGGCUGGAGACCACCUCACCAGUGCGGGAGAUUUCAUUUGCUUAACAACCUUCAAGAAGAAGGACUGUCUGGUAGGAAUGCAUGGAGGAAAGAUGUGUCGGGGUACCUGUGGCGCUGGACUUGACUGCUCCUGGUAUGUGCAAACACUGUGCGCACGCCUCAUCUGUGCAUUUGUAGCCCGCUUUACAUCUGCACACAGCGUUUCGAGAGGUUUGGCACUUGGACUCGUACUCCAUAUUGGCUGAAGGUGAGAAGCCAUCAUUAAGAUUAGUUGUCAUUUAGGUUGAUUAUUAUAGUAGUACAGUGCUGCAACGCCUUAGAAUGGAGUAUACUUAACUUGCUUUCUAGUGUGUCUUACAGGUUUGCUUCUACCAAUAUUAUGACUUAGGUGUUACAGAAAGAUGAUGAAAAGUGAACACACCCAAAGCUUCUUCAUCCUGGUGGUCUUUUGGAGAUGUGCAGUGUUGUUUUUGCACCCAUUGCGGCCAAAAUCAACCUUGGUUUCAUCAAAGCAUGAAAAACGUUCCUACAUGCUAUUAGGAGAUGUGAUGAAUUAUUUCUCCAAAUUCAAAGGCUGCUAUGUUGUUGGCGUUUGAUCUUUUGGAAUAAGUUUAGCAAAAAAAAAAAAAAAGACAUGGAAAAAGCAAAACACACACACUGGAUGAGUCCUUUGAAUCUUCAUCCAUUCAUAUUCUAUAGCGCUUGUCCUCAUUAGGGUCAUGGGUGGGUUUGAGCUCCUGCCAGUUGACUUUGAGCGAGAGGUGGGGUACACCCUGGAUUAGUGGCCAGCCAAUCUCGAGGCACAUAUACAGUAGACAAACAACCGUUCACUCUCACAUUCACACCCAUGGACAAUUUAGAGCUUUGGUGAAACACUGGGACCUCCAUUUUCAAAUUGUUGUUAAGUCGCGACCCACUCUAAUAGAUGUUAAGAACAAUAAUGUGUUGUUCAAAAAUAGCCUUUAAAAACAGACUUGACCAUAUUUAAACUACGCACGGUGGACGACUGGUUAGCAUAUCUGCCUCACAGUUCUGAGGACCGGGGUUCAAUCCCCGGCCCCGCCUGUGUGGCGUUUGCAUGUUCUCCCCGUUUCUGUGUGGGUUUUCUCCGGGCACUCCGGUUUCCUCCCACAUCCCAAAAACAUGCAUGGUGGGUUGAUUGAAGACUCUAAAUUGCCCGUAGGUGUGAAUGUGUGCGCGAAUGGUUGUUUGUUUUUAUGUGCCCUGCCAUUGGCUGGCGACCAGUUCAGGGUGUACACCGCCUCUCGCCCCGAGAUAGCUGGGAUUGGCUCCAGCACGCCCGCGACCCUAGUGAGGAGAAGCGAUACAGAAAAUGGAUGGAUGGAUGAACUACACGUUCAUUUGUUGGCUGUGACUAUAAAGCAAUCCAAUGAAAAACUUUAAAUACAGUGCUAACUGAGCGGGCCUUCUCAUACUGCGUAAAAACGUAUUCUUACACUAUCCGUAACCUCAAAAUGUCGUAUGCCAGUACUGUUGCAAACUGAGGACCUCCUGUAAUUCUGACGACCUAUCCACGACCCACCCAGAAUGGCUCCACGACCCACUUUUGGGUCCCGAUCGAACAGUUGUGCAUCACUGAGUUAGAGUCUUCAAUGAAGCUAGAAUGCAUGUUUCUGGAAUGUGGGAGGAAAUGAAGUACCCAGAGAAAACCCAUCCAAACACAGUGAGAACAUGCAAACUCCACUCUAAAAGGCCGAGCUGAGAUUCUAACCAGGAAACACGAACCACUAGAUCACCGUGCCAGCUACAAUACUACAAUCUGCUGCAAGUUCCAACGUACUGCCAGAUUCGUAUGGAAAGACAUUGAAUCCCACGACAGCUUUCAACACGACACACUCUUCUGAUUCGAGACUUGAAACAAUUCAACUUAUAGACAACCAAAUAAACGGAAUGUUCACUCACGUUUGUCACACAUUCUGCAAACAUCGCAGGUCAUCUCCACGUUGGAGGAGUCAGCAUAGCGGUCACCUGUGCAAAGUCCACACUCCAUCUCACAAUCGGUUGGCGAGCGCCAGAUCAUGUGUUUACCUGCGACACACGAAGCGUUUGAUACGAUAGCGACUGUACACUGCACCAACGCCACUGUACCCACGUAGAGCCCGUCGAGGCCGCUUUACCUGGCGGGCACUUGUCACAGCAACUGUGCGGAGCCUUUAGAGGCCACGCAUAUUGUGUAACCUUGCACUGCAUUGACAGCACGGAGGAAGGCACAAACCACAUGCUGCAAAGAGACGUUAAAAGAACAUAUGUGUGCAUCUGCGGGGAAAACAGGAGUAGGUUAGCUUGUCGAUACCAUUUUGCAUUGUUUGUUAGCAUUAAGCUAAACUAACGUUGUUAAGGCAAGGCUAUGUGGUUGUUUUUAUAUUCUUUUUUGAAGAAUGGCUCUCUAUCUGCCAAACUGCUGCUUGUUGUGAAGUGAGUUCAGUUCACUGGUUCCUGUCUGUCUCUCUCUCUCUCUCUCUCUAUCUAUCUAUCUAUCUAUCUAUCUAUCUAUCUAUCUAUCUCUACCUAACACCAACUGGUUGAGGCAGACAGAGACACCCCACACUGAGUCUCGGGUUUGUACGAGGUUUCUUCCUUAAAGGAAGUUUUUUUCCCCCCUUGCCUAAGUCGCCUUGGGCUUACUCUUGUGGGGUUCAGUUGGUUUCUUAAUAUAUGAACAGCGAGGUUCCAGACCUGUUAAAUUCCUUGCGAUAACCUCUGGUGUGAAUGGAUCUAUAAAAUAAAAAUUUAAUGGAAUACUGUACAUGAUGCAUUGUUUUUCCCUGAGUUGCUCAACAUAGCACAAGUAUUCUGCAAGAUUAACAGGAGUCAUAAUACACAGAAACUAGCCAACACUAUCAUCAUAUUUUCACACAUGGUAAAACCUAUGAAUUUAUCAUAUUUACUAAAGAUUUAACUAACAGUGUCAUACUCACCGUGGAUGAGGGGAGACGAUGAAUGCAGCCUGAGACCCCCGUCAAAAACUGCCCAAAUGAACAGGGGCCCAGAAGUGUGUCACUUUGAGUGACUUUAAAUGUCACGGCUGACUCAUUGCGAAAGCCCGGCAUUAGGCUGCUGUCUUUCAAAUCUCAAGGCAGCGACCCCCUUCCUCUCUGCAACGACCUUCACGGCCAUCUCUCUCCAUUUGUCCAAACGUGUUCCUCCUCCAGGAAGUUACUUAUUCUGAUUGAUGGUUGCAGACAGGUUUAAAAAUACAGAACUCAGCCAUGCUUGUAACUCCAAUAGGUGUUACACACUCUUCGACAUGUGAACAAAAACUGUUAGUACUGUCCUGAAAGGUCACUGAAAUAACUGACAAGACUGGAAUGUGUUGAAAAAAAUGAAUGAGAAACCCCUACUGUGAACUGCGAAGGGGGGCUCAUUCGUGUUCAGGGGCUGCUUUUUUAAAAAAUCUGGCACUGGGUGUCUUGAAUCCGUGCAGGGUACAUUGUAAUCUCAAGACUAUCAACGCGUUUUACAGCGAAAUGCGCUGCCCACUGUCAGAAAGCUUGGCCAGGUGUCCUCCAAUAGCACAAUAACGCAAAACACAGACUACACAGAACACCCGAGAAUCACUAAGAAGAAUGAAGAUGAAUUUGUUUAGAAAUCACUUUUGUCCGUUUCAAUUUAUUUCAUAGGGAAGCACAUGUCCGCCAGUUAAAAAAAAAAAAAAAAAAAGUAAAAAUAAAAGAACUUCUCUGUGCGUCUUUUCAUUGUCUUUCGGUUGAUGACAGGUUUUAUUUUAAAGUCCAAAAGUGACCAGAACACACAGCUUUAUUGACUUAGGUCAGCAAAUAGAGCUCAGAGUCCAAAAAUGACCACAAUGAAGCAACGUUUAGCUGUGGGGGUGAAAACAACUGGAAUACAUUGCCUAGUGAGCUUUUCACCUCUGCCAAGCGGUUAUGUUUUCUUUUAUUGUUUGUUACCUCUACUGACCACCAACUACAGUGCUUAAGUGUACAUGCUAUUUUUGGGUCAUUUAGUUUGUGUACCGUUGAAAAUGUCUUAGGCUACCUAUGGAAGUGUUGUUUUAACAAUGCUAUAAUGACCAUUUCUUACUAGAAUGCCCCUCAGUAAAGCACAGACCUCCACCGAGGCUGAAUGGUUAACAUAAGUGUGUCAUACUGGUUUGUCUGACAGCAGUUUACUUUCCAAAUGUAAUUAGUUCUUCCUUGGGCCAUACCUCACCAUAGAGUGAAAUUGUUUUUUGAGGUUACCCAGACAUCUGCAGCUGCCCUUAUCCGUUUGGGAGUCCGGUCUUGGCAGAGGUCUGCACUCUACGGAGAGCUAUUCCACAUGUAAUUUGCUUUCAAAGUUAGCAUUCAUUUCAUUGUAAGGCCCAAUUUGUGAUGUAGCUCUUGUACUGCUCUUGCACACUCACAUUGGAGCUGCUGUCGACCACAGCUCAGGCCCAGACUCUCACAGUGUCACGACUUCAUGUGUCACCCCACCGGGACCCGGCUCUUAAAGGAACAUGCAUGUAGACAGACACUAAAAUACAUACAAUAUUUUAGAAACGUUUUAUGCUUGCAAUUUCUAUGUGUUCAAAUGUUUCGAAUGUUUUUUUUUUUUUAAAAAGGUGUGCUUAAAAAGUCUGUUUUAAUAAGUUUCAAUGUGUUUAAAAGUAUGUGAGAGGGGUAAAACUAUAUUAAAAUGUUUUUUUUUUCAUGUGGUCUUUCUACUGUAUAGCGCGUAUUUUGAUGUAUUGCGUAUUCCUCUGCGAGAAAAAGGGUUUCUGUGAUAGAGUGAUGGUUUCAUUUGAUGAUAAAGCGAAACUGCAUACAUCAUAAGUUGUAAGAGCAUGUGCGGGUGCUAAGAGAUAAUCAUCUCGGCAUUAUUUGGCCAGCAUAACUUCAUUGGUUGUGAUAUGAGUGUCUGGGUGAAAAAAAACAAAAACCAAAAGAGACAUUUUGUGUGUUUGUUAGUCAUUGUUACUUACUUGUGCCGGCUGCUCGACAGCACAGCAGCCCUUACUUGAGCUUGUUUCCACAAAAAGUGAGGCCCCUGCACGUGAAAAUCGAAACAGGAAGUGCCAGACAGAGAGCUGACAUGAUGACUCAACACAAUGAUUGUGCACUAACUUGACUGUGCUUGCUGCCAGGGUGUCACAUGCAAAGCUUGACUUACAAGGAUACCUCUGAGCAGAAGCUGAGAGGACUACAGGGUGGGAACGUGUUGACUUCUCAAUGGUCGUGAACCAAACUUAUGACUUAGUGGAUUCUCGACAAGUGCGUGCAUGUACGGUAAACAUGCAGUGAGGAGAAAACGCUUACACCUUGAAGGAACUUUGUGGUGAUCCGGUGUCACAACAAUGCUCAGUUUUGAUUGAAAAUGUAAAGAGAGGUAUUAUUCAUCAAUGUUUUCUAGUCUUGUGGGAGAAAAUGGAUGGAUGAAUGGUUAAUCAGUACUGAAAGGCACUCUGUAGCAUUUUUAUUUUGGUAUUUCAUUUGAGUAUUUUAUUAUGGACCUAACUAAAUGGAUUUUUUUUAAAUUAUUGUUUAAUUAAAAUUCAAUUAUCAAAUAAAUGCGUAUUUACACUG
RNA transcript from Phyllopteryx taeniolatus (common seadragon), 6704 nucleotides. It is a transcript of the gene named tumor necrosis factor receptor superfamily member 26, with no coding region annotated. The record is from RefSeq and is a predicted model, not a curated record. The transcript is spliced from 12 exons. NCBI's taxonomy places the organism in Eukaryota, Metazoa, Chordata, Actinopteri, Syngnathiformes, Syngnathidae.